This 248-nucleotide long non-coding RNA is filed under the name Zea mays. RNAcentral's name for it is "long non-coding RNA NONZMAT001248". Lineage: Eukaryota; Viridiplantae; Streptophyta; Magnoliopsida; Poales; Poaceae. The record is from RNAcentral.
AGCCAGCGGUUGCCGGUUGUGACCGUCGUCGUUGGAAGGCGACGCGAAGCGGCAGUGCAGUGCUCGUCUUCGUCGGCGCGUCGCCGUCCGGAGGGCGGAGGCCAAAGCUUGUACUUGUCUUCGGCGGAGGGGAUUCUGAAAUCGAGGUGCGCAACUAGGAGAGCCAGUUGCCACGGUUGCGCUUUUGCUCAUCAUCGGAGGCGGUUGAAGUGUCGAUGUUUCUGUGCCUUCCUGGGGGUAUUCUGGAG